This is a long non-coding RNA of Sander lucioperca (pikeperch), 105 nucleotides long. RefSeq lists it as uncharacterized. NCBI's taxonomy places the organism in Eukaryota, Metazoa, Chordata, Actinopteri, Perciformes, Percidae. The transcript has 3 exons. The record is from RefSeq and is a predicted model, not a curated record.
CUACUAUUAUUUACUGCUGCUGUUCUGCCCGGUGCAUCCCAUGCUGACGCUAAAGGGAGAUUUUUGCGUCAAUGUCUGACACUGAAGCGUUAGUAUUUUACGAGU